This 554-nucleotide ribosomal RNA is filed under the name uncultured bacterium. Its description in RNAcentral is "bacterial SSU rRNA". It matches the Rfam family "Bacterial small subunit ribosomal RNA", at positions 53 to 615 of the family's 1533-position model. The record is from RNAcentral.
ACGGAGCGCCGGACACGGACUAUUUCGGUAGGAAGCGUGCGGAGGCUUAGUGGCGGACGGGUGAGUAACGCGUGGAUAACCUGCCACAUACCGGCGGGAUAACAGCUGGAAACAGCUGCUAAUACCGCAUAUGCCCGCAGUGCCGCAUGGCACAGCGGGGAAAACUCCGGUGGUAUGCGAUGGGUCCGCGUCUGAUUAGGCAGUUGGCGGGGCAACGGCCCACCAAACCGACGAUCAGUAGCCGGCCUGAGAGGGCGGACGGCCACACUGGGACUGAGACACGGCCCAGACUCCUGCGGGAGGCAGCAGUGGGGAAUAUUGCACAAUGGGGGAAACCCUGAUGCAGCGACGCCGCGUGAAGGAAGAAGUAUCUCGGUAUGUAAACUUCUAUCAGCAGGGAAGAAAACAGACGGUACCUGACUAAGAAGCCCCGGCUAACUACGUGCCAGCAGCCGCGGUAAUACGUAGGGGGCAAGCGUUAUCCGGAUUUACUGGGUGUAAAGGGGGCGCAGACGGCCAUGGCAAGCCCGGUGUGAAAGGCAGGGGCAUAACCC